RNAcentral lists this ribosomal RNA (268 nucleotides) under uncultured bacterium. RNAcentral describes it as "partial 16S ribosomal RNA". It matches the Rfam family "Bacterial small subunit ribosomal RNA", at positions 94 to 354 of the family's 1533-position model. The record is from RNAcentral.
AGUGGCGAACGGGUGAGUAACACGUGGGGCAACCCUGCCCAAAAGAGGGGGAUAACACUUGGAAACAGGUGCUAAUACCGUAUAACCAUAGUUACCGCAUGGUAACUAUGUAAAAGGUGGCUAUGCUACCGCUUUUGGAUGGGCCCGCGGCGCAUUAGCUAGUUGGUGGGGUAAAGGCUUACCAAGGCAAUGAUGCGUAGCCGAACUGAGAGGUUGAUCGGCCACAUUGGGACUGAGACACGGCCCAAACUCCUACGGAAGGCAGCAG